Molecule: ribosomal RNA, 428 nt
Filed under: uncultured Desulfocella sp.
Lineage: Bacteria; Pseudomonadati; Thermodesulfobacteriota; Desulfobacteria; Desulfobacterales; Desulfobacteraceae
Description: bacterial SSU rRNA
Rfam family: Bacterial small subunit ribosomal RNA
Source: RNAcentral
UGAGGAAUUUUGCGCAAUGGGGGAAACCCUGACGCAGCAAUGCCGCGUGAGUGAAGAAGGCCUUCGGGUCGUAAAGCUCUGUCAGAUGGGAAGAAGUUAUUAAUUAUUAAUAGUGGUUAGUAUUGACGGUACCAUCAAAGGAAGCACCGGCUAACUCCGUGCCAGCAGCCGCGGUAAUACGGAGGGUGCAAGCGUUAUUCGGAAUCAUUGGGCGUAAAGGGCGCGUAGGCGGUAUGUCAAGUCAGAUGUGAAAUCCCGGGGCUUAACUUCGGAGGGUCAUUUGAAACUGACAUACUUGAGUUCGGUAGAGGAAAGCGGAAUUCCUGGUGUAGCGGUGAAAUGCGUAGAUAUCAGGAGGAACAUCAGUGGCGAAGGCGGCUUUCUGGCCCGAUACUGACGCUGAUGCGCGAAGGCAUGGGUAGCAAACG